UCCCUGGUCAUCGCAUGCGGCAAAUCCACCUCUGAUUAGGUUUAUGUGUUUAUUUUUCUUUGCAAUAGGGUGUGGAAACGCAAACAGUGCGGCCAGUUCGUGUUUCCAGAAGGCUCCAGGAGUUCUCUCGGCUCUGGGUGGGCUGCCCCCACCCGCCCCCACACCCCCGGCUUUCAGGACGCUGACCCACCCAUCAGGCGCUAUCAGAGCAGGACUGGUCACCGGGGAUGGCAGAGGACGCGCUGUUUCCUGGAACAUGCGUCAGAGAACACAGCCCCAAAGGAGAAGUGAGUCAGCCGGGUCUGUGAGCCACACGGUCUGCCAGCCGUGAGCCCCAGGACGAGGUGAUGGAGCCGGGGACGCAGGGGAGGCCACCCGCUGCCCUCGUGCCUGCCAGGCGCUGCAUGCCCCCAUGGCACAGCCUCGACUCAGAGUUUGACUAAGUGUGUCCCGUCUGUGCAAAGAAGGUCUUCCAGGAAGGUGAGGCAAGAGUACACUCUGAGGGCGGCCAGGCGCUGGGGUACCAGGCCAGAGUGCGCACCUCUAGGGGAGAUGGGCCUCUGAGAGGUCACGGGGCGCCGCGCGCGAACGCGGAGUGAAAUUAACACCAUGCCUGGUGCUGGAGGCCCCUGGGCCCUGGCUCACGUGUGCUGCGCGCUGGGAGCAAAGGCGCCACUGGCUCCGGUGCGACGCGGCUGUGAGGAGGCCGCCCCGCCCUUGCUUGACCGCAGAGCUCCCCUGGGACGUGCAGCUCGUCCCCAGACGCGCCCCACCCCGCCUGGCCAGACCUAGGGGAGCCGGACGCUCCCUGAGACGAGGCCCAGGAGAGGCACUCCCGCACACCACUGCUGCGGCCUGCGACGAAGCCAUUCGACCUAGAAGCUUCCGGAAGGAGUCUGGCGACCCUGCCACCGGCUCUUCAACACUGACCAUAGGCCUCGGUCACGUGCCCGCUUCUUCAGCACGUUCUGCACACAUUUCCAGCCUCUGGGGGGAAGGGAGCUGCUGUCUUCAUUGGCUUUGAGACCCCAGCCAGCCCUGGGGAAUUUGUCUCCAUGUUGGGGCAGAAGAGGAGGAGGGCAGAGACAUGGGAUGUUUUGAGUACCUACUACGCGCCAGGCCCCAGGGUUCCACGUCGGACAUUGCCCUGGCUCCGUCCUUCUGAGCCGCCCUGGAAACUUUUCCAGCCAAGAACUUGGCACCCAGACACCGGGCCACGGGCCAUCUGAGCGCUGGGGCCCAGCCCAGCUGGACCCCUAAGAACGCCGCCCUACUUACAAGCCACUCAUCAGUCAUGUUGAUGAAGUGGAGGGGCUGCUUCAGAGGUGAGG
This 1331-nucleotide long non-coding RNA is filed under the name Bos indicus x Bos taurus (hybrid cattle). Its description in RNAcentral is "lncRNA (ENSBIXG00000014076.1)". Lineage: Eukaryota; Metazoa; Chordata; Mammalia; Artiodactyla; Bovidae. The record is from RNAcentral.